AAUAAACACAUAAUUACACAAAUGAUAUUAUAUACAAACAUGUGAAGUUGGAAGUUGAUCUGCAACUGUACGGCCCUUGCACUAUUAAGUAUUUAACUGCCUAACAUGCCAAGGCUCCCAAACUCAACUAACCCAACUCUUUAACUUUACAAACCAUAACUUUCCCAUCUUGAAGGUUAUCUAACUGGCCAACAUAAAUAACAUGACCAAAGUCCAUGAAGAACAACUAUUUCAACUUGGAUUUUCCUGCCAUGACUUCAGAGAUUUAUCCCAGCGAAAUCUCUAACAGUGAAGCCAACCUUUUCAAACUUCCCUCUCUCACUGCUCUCUCUGAAUUUCAAAUAAUCUGAACAGACAAACGGCUUGUAAAUUCUUGCAUAUCCUUCUCCAACUACUUCAUCUGGUGCAAAGAUCACCUUCUCAUCCUCAAAGCACCAGAAAAAAGCAAGAGAGAAUCGGUUAACUGGUUUUUUCAAAAUAACUCGAUGUUCUGAUGAUCUAAAUUUCUCAUUGCUCCAAGCUUGCAACAUAUCUCCUAUGUUCACCACCAAAGUUUCCUCACAGGGGUUUAUGUCCAUCCACUUCCCUUCCCUAGAUUUCACCUGAAGCCCGCCAAUUUGGUCUUGGUAUACAAUCGUUACGCAGCUCAUGUCUGUAUGCAUCCCGAGGCCCUCAACCUCAUCAUCUAGACAUUUUAGAGGUGUGUAGUUUAUAAUCCUCAAAUAUCCAUGGCCAUUCUUGAAUUCAGAUUCAUAGUAUUUCUUAUGAGCAAGACCAUAUUCCAAGCUUCGCAAUAGAAUCUCAAUGAUUCUUUGGGAUAGCUCUGUCAUCUUGCUCCCAUAUUCCUGAAGCGCCUUGCUGUACUUGCUUCAGAUAUCAG
RNAcentral lists this unclassified non-coding RNA (880 nucleotides) under Hevea brasiliensis (rubber tree). Lineage: Eukaryota; Viridiplantae; Streptophyta; Magnoliopsida; Malpighiales; Euphorbiaceae. The record is from RNAcentral.